GAUGAACGCUGGCGGCGUGCCUAAUACAUGCAAGUCGAGCGAACAGACGAGGAGCUUGCUCCUCUGACGUUAGCGGCGGACGGGUGAGUAACACGUGGAUAACCUACCUAUAAGACUGGGAUAACUUCGGGAAACCGGAGCUAAUACCGGAUAAUAUAUUGAACCGCAUGGUUCAAUAGUGAAAGACGGUUUUACUGUCACUUAUAGAUGGUUCCGCGCCGCAUUAGCUAGUUGGUAAGGUAACGGCUUACCAAGGCAACGAUGCGUAGCCGACCUGAGAGGGUGAUCGGCCACACUGGAACUGAGACACGGUCCAGACUCCUACGGGAGGCAGCAGUAGGGAAUCUUCCGCAAUGGGCGAAAGCUUGACGGAGCAACGCCGCGUGAGUGAUGAAGGUCUUCGGAUCGUAAAACUCUGUUAUUAGGGAAGAACAAAUGUGUAAGUAACUAUGCACGUCUUGACGGUACCUAAUCAGAAAGCCACGGCUAACUACGUG
This 497-nucleotide ribosomal RNA is filed under the name uncultured bacterium. RNAcentral describes it as "partial 16S ribosomal RNA". It matches the Rfam family "Bacterial small subunit ribosomal RNA", at positions 28 to 507 of the family's 1533-position model. The record is from RNAcentral.